Mercenaria mercenaria is the source of this 1674-nucleotide long non-coding RNA. RefSeq lists it as uncharacterized. NCBI's taxonomy places the organism in Eukaryota, Metazoa, Mollusca, Bivalvia, Venerida, Veneridae. The transcript has 2 exons. The record is from RefSeq and is a predicted model, not a curated record.
UAUAGGGGUUGGAAUGCAUGCAAAAUUGCUAUAGUGUCCAGUGCCUAUAUAGAACAUAUAGUAAAAAUAACUGUGGUCUUAGGCCUGAUAUAGUGGAAAAUGUCAGAAAGUAAAUUGUCAAUAUUUUUGUUAUUUUUCAAUCUACAUGGCUGAAAUUUUGACAGUGAAUGGCUGGUAGGCAUAGAAAUCUGGUAAAUAUUUAGAUUAAUCAUUACAUUUGCUGAAAUUGCUUCAGUUUGGAUAAAAAGUUUACAUGCACUUGAAACUUGUGAAAAAUCCUACUUUCAGUUUACAUAUUUCUGGAUUUUUUCUAAUUUUGCAGGUUUUCAUGCAUGAAAUGCAUUUUUAUAAGUUCUUUGUUUGAAACCGGUAUGCGGAAAACAAAAUGGGGUAUUACAAAUGCCGCGAUGUGAUAUUUUUUGAUUUUUUAGAAAUUUGAGCUGCGACUGAGGAAAUCUGACAUAAAGUCAGAUAUGUAUUUUUUGCUAUUCUUGUUUACAUAAAAUUGCUCUUUUGGUUACUUGAAUUUACACAGUACACACAGUCUGAAUAGUGAAAUAUGUGUAAUCAUAAUCUGUGCAAGAAAAAUCAGUUCAAGGGCUUGAAAAUUGGACAGAUUAGGCCUGAAAUUGGCAUAUUUUAAUUGAUUUUGAAGGAAAACAGGCAGAUUUUCACACACUAGACUUGCAUAUUGGUUUCCUUAAUGCUUAAUUGAGCAUAAAUCAUCAUAUCUGAGGUCCUGAAUUGUAUAUUUACUUAUUCUGUUGGAUUUCUUACACUUUUAGUACCUAAAAACCUGAAAUGAGAGCGCUCGGACAAUGUGAAGUUUGUCGCAUAGACGGGGAUUGACCGCCUUUGUACAUAUAUGUCUACAGCUUCUCAGAUUUGACCGAAGAGAGUUGUUCGGUGUUGUGAAUGGAUGUUGUUCGGCCGAAGGCCUUCCAGUCACACAGAAGAUCCUGGUUCGGUCACACGAAGGGUCACUUCCAUUGAUAUUAGUCACAGGAAAAAUUAGGAGCACCAGUUGUAUUUUCUCAGGUUGAUAUUUAUUAAGGUUUUUGCUGAAAUUAAGCCAGUUUGGAACAUUCAGCAGGCAGUGAUGUACAUUAAAAUCAUUCUUUAUAGAGAUAGGGGCUGUUUUGCCAGAAUGCUCAGCUGUGAUACACAGUGUAAGAUUUUGUGCAGUGUAAAUGGUCAUGGUGUGCAUGUUUCAUUUACAGAGUGCACUGAAUGCCUGUAAACUGUAAGAUUUGAGUGAAAUAUUCAUUCCAGAAAGACUCAUAAGCUUUUUAGUAAGCUCACAUAUUGGAUUUUUCAGAGCUGUUUGGCUCAUUUUACCUAGGGUAGCCAUAAAUGAAUGAUCACUGAAAAGUAUAUGACACAUAUAUGUACAAAAGCUAUUCAUUCUCAUAUUUGCCACAUACUGGGCUGCUUAAAAAGGGCAAAUUUGACAGCUACAGGAUUUUUCUUAGUUCACAUUUUACUUUUUCGUGUGAGUAGACUCUGCGUUUUGACGUGCUUUUUGUAAUAUGAAUAGUUUUCCUUAAAAUUGGAACAGUGAUAUUGUAAUCAGACUUGAAGUGGCUCUUAAUUUGGAUAGAUGUAUAUUAAGGAAACAUGCUGUUUUUUAUUUUGGGUGAAAAUCUCAUCAAACAAAAAAGUUAUAGAAUUUUG